CCACCCCACCCCCACCAAACAACCCCAAAUUUCUUGCACAAAAUGGAAGUUUGGCGGAACAGUAAGUAGUGUAGCGAAAACAGGACCGGCGCCGCUUGUUUUCUGCUGUCUGCCUCCUCCACCCUAGGGUCUCCAAAUCACCGCCUACCUUUACAGGAGGACCUGAAAGGAUCCAGGGCACUUUCCUUCUUCUUUAGCUGAACCGAUCUGCCACAGGGAAACAGGCCUGGAUUUCAGCACACGUCGACUCUUGGUCACUGUGGUACAGGAGACCAGGAAGGGUAUUUUCCAGUGUCCUGGAAGAGCCUUCAUCUUAGGUGAAGAGAACAAGGACUCACCAAGAAGCAAGCCCUCCAUGAAAACCAGCACCAUGCGUGGGUCGCCAAAAGCAGGGGGACAGCCAGACCCUGGCCCCUUCUAGCGUAUGAGCAAACAAGAAGAGCCAAUCCUCUCACCCAUCUAAAAUAAAACAGAAGAGGAUAGAACAAAGCAGAUCAGAACAAUGUAAGCAACGCAGCACUUUACAACAAGACAACUGGUUAGUAACAGUAGUACUAUAAUGUGUCUUUCUUUGAAAUAGAUGUUUAAGGAACCUUACAGUACCUUACUCAUAAACCUAAUUUGUUGAACAAUUUUGUAAUGAAUGGAUUUUAAAUUUCAUUAACAACCAUCUCUACAUCUAUGGAGAGAAUUCAUAUGAUUUAUAUCUUUCAUUCUGCUGAUGUGUUUUAUCACUCCAUUAUUGGUUUGCAAGUAUCAAACUACCCUUGAAUCCUUUGGAUCAAUCCCACCGGAUCAUGAUGAAUGAUUUAAUGUACUAAUUGAAUUGGUUAGUGUUUUCUUGAGUUUUUUUUAAUCUAUAUGCUUUGAAAAUAUUGGCCUGUAGUAAGGGUUUUUUUUUUUUUCCUUAAAUAGUUUUGGAAUCAAAUUAAUGCUGCACAAUAAUUUUUCUGAAUGUGUUCAGAAAAAUUAUUACCUCUAUCUUUUGAAAUAACUUAACAAGAAUGGGUAUUAUUUCCUCUUAACAUCCUUGUAGAACACAGU
This is a long non-coding RNA of Cavia porcellus (domestic guinea pig), 1044 nucleotides long. RefSeq lists it as uncharacterized. The record is from RefSeq and is a predicted model, not a curated record. Lineage: Eukaryota; Metazoa; Chordata; Mammalia; Rodentia; Caviidae. The transcript has 4 exons.